Molecule: ribosomal RNA, 23 nt
Filed under: Emericellopsis sp. r204
Lineage: Eukaryota; Fungi; Ascomycota; Sordariomycetes; Hypocreales; Bionectriaceae
Also listed under: 1 other name
Description: partial 28S ribosomal RNA
Source: RNAcentral
GUGACCUCAGAUCAGGUAGGAAA